Rosa rugosa (rugosa rose) is the source of this 1263-nucleotide RNA transcript. RefSeq lists it as uncharacterized. The record is from RefSeq and is a predicted model, not a curated record. NCBI's taxonomy places the organism in Eukaryota, Viridiplantae, Streptophyta, Magnoliopsida, Rosales, Rosaceae. The transcript has 9 exons.
AGAAGCGAUCUUUUUCCACUCUCUUCGUUUUUCAGCUGAGUUCUGCGUUCUAUUGUUGACAGAGAGUGAGAGAGAGGGAGAGGGUUGGUAACAGUGGGGGUUUCGGAUUCUCGGUUUCGAUUGAGCUGGCAAUCUUUUCAUCAAAUCAGACGAUCCGAUUGAGCAAUCAUAUAUCUUUGAGACUUUGAGCUUCAAAUACAUCAGGAGAAGUCCAUCGCAAUAUGACAGAUUGGAAGGUGCAUGCAUGUGAAGGUAUGUGGGUAUGUGGGUUUAUCUAGCUGUGUUUGGUUUGGCAUUUGAAUUUGGUUUUGUGGGUGAUUUAGCAUUUUUUUUAAUCUGGGUUUUGUGUGGGUUUGCAUUAGAGCUGUGUUAUGUGGAAUUAGAUAUGGGAAGUAGUUAGAUUUAGCAAAUCGUGUCAUGCAUCUGUUAGUAUAUAUCAUUUUUUGCUUUGUUGUUAUUUCUGCGAGCAAUUUUUCAUUUGGUGUCUUUAUGAACACUUCUUUUUUCUUCUUUUUUUCGUUCCAGGUGUAGCAUCUUUCUUAUUCAUACUGUAUUGGAUUAUUGUAUGGAGUUGAUUCUGUCUUAUUUCGAUGAGGUCAGGUGAAGAAGGUAGGUAACUCAGAGAAAAGGAAGAGGGGGACGGGAACAAUCGGUGUAUCAAUACGUAAUGGAAGAGAAAUCCUUUUAAAGGACGAUUGGAGAAGGUUAGAGGAGCCUUAUGGAAGUAUAUUCAUAACUAUUCCAACUGUUCUUGAUUCAUCAUUGGCUCCAGAAGGGCACCGUAUUCUUCAUAUUUACGACCUCUUCCAUUGAAGACUGGGAGGGACUUCUCUCGAAAGGACUAUGAAUCAAAGGAGCUUAUGGCAGAUGUCAUCAUUAGCAGAUUAGAGAAGAUACUAUUUCCAGGGCUUAAGUCAUCCAUCGUUUUUAAGGAGGGAGACCAGCAUUGAAUCAGCAACACCAUCGACCAAAACCAUCAACAAAGAAAAAAUGGACUGAAAUGUCAUGACACUUUUGGUGUAAAUAGAACUGGAGGAAGCAACUUUUUGGACAACCUCCACCACUGAUCAUCACUAGCUAACAACUUCUUAGCACACAUAUAUGCUAAUGGAGAUCAUCACUUAUUUUUGGCAAGCAGAUUAGGCAUUCAUUGUAAUUAAGUUAGCCUACAAGUAGAACAACUUAUUUUUGGCAAGCUGUUCCAACAGCAACUGUAACCUGUUUUUGAACACUAGAUUUUAGUAAAACAAGCUCUUAACGAGA